AUGGGAGCUCUUUCUUGUUUGUUUGCAGUCUCUGCCAUGGCUGACUUGUACUGGGGUGUGGAUACAGGCAGGGAUUUGAAACAAAUGGGGGGGGACCCUCUCCACCCUCACAGAGCCCCACAAUAUCACCCUUCUUUUGGAGGAGGUUCACUGUCACAUUCCUCUAACUUGCUCCGCCAGAGUAUGAGGCAUGUACGUACACUCAGAUGUCUCAGAACAGCUAUUUUUGAGAGAGAGGUCUGCUCAAUAAGCUUCUGUGGAAACUUUGGAUGCAUUGGUGCUUAUAGGACCAGGAGAAGAACAGGGUCCAGGAUGAAUGUGGACAUGUACUUAAGAGCUUUGCUGAAUUUGAUGUCAUAUCAUCUAUGGCCAAAUAAAAUACAACAGGGCCAAGGAAAGAAGGAUAAUGGAAAUGUCAGAAAUGUAAAGCUGGAAGGAACCUCAAGACAUCUUCAAGUUCCUACCUGAGGCAGCACAAUAUAUAUCCAGAUAUCUAGACUCCCUCAGGUGGUUAUCGCUGUCUUGUCAAAGAACCUGGACAGACAGGUGAUGGAAAAGUUUAAUGUGACUUGAAAAAAGCAAUGAAUUAAGCAAUGGGAUAAAGCUACUGAAAAAAAAAAAAAAAAAGAGAGAGAAGAUCCUUCAAGAUAUACCAUAGAAGGCAAGGAAAAGAAAAAUGUGUCCAAGGGGGAAGAAGAAUUUAAAACAAUGGAAAAUCAGGCAUCUGUGUUAAAUCAAAACUUGAAGAAACUGCACAUAAGGAAUUGAUUCUCUGUUGCUGCAAGAAGCUGUUCAGGAGAAACUAGGGUUUAGAAGGACAGCCAUCGCCCUUGCCCUCAGGGGAAUAUGCUAGGAGAGAGGCAGAAUGCAGAAUGUUUCCUAUAUACUUUAUCAGCAAUGCUGGUUGCUCUUAUUUAUUUUUGUCAAAUUGUUCUUUAUUUCAG
This 944-nucleotide long non-coding RNA is filed under the name Anser brachyrhynchus (Pink-footed goose). Its description in RNAcentral is "lncRNA (ENSABRG00000012245.1)". The record is from RNAcentral. Lineage: Eukaryota; Metazoa; Chordata; Aves; Anseriformes; Anatidae.